This 253-nucleotide ribosomal RNA is filed under the name uncultured bacterium. RNAcentral describes it as "partial 16S ribosomal RNA". It matches the Rfam family "Bacterial small subunit ribosomal RNA", at positions 524 to 776 of the family's 1533-position model. The record is from RNAcentral.
UACGGAGGGGGCUAGCGUUGUUCGGAAUUACUGGGCGUAAAGCGCGCGUAGACGGCCCUGCAAGUCGGGGGUGAAAGCCCGAGGCUCAACCUCGGAACGGCCUUCGAUACUGCGGGUCUCGAGUCCGGGAGAGGUGAGUGGAAUUCCCAGUGUAGAGGUGAAAUUCGUAGAUAUUGGGAAGAACACCGGUGGCGAAGGCGGCUCUCUGGGCCGAGACUGACGCUGAGGCGCGAAAGCGUGGGGAGCAAACAGG